GUCCUUAUCUCAACCCUUGAGCCCUUUUCAUCGUAUUUUCUCCCCGUUCCUCUUUGAGGAGGGGGAGUGAGAGAGCGGUUGUGGUGGAGCUCAGCCACCCACCCGAGUAAAACCACCACAAGGGGGUAUACAGGAAAGCUGGGAGGGAACUCUUUGUCAGGGAGUGUAGUGAUAGGACAAGUGAUAACAGCUUUAAAUUAAAAUAGGGGAGAAUUAUAUCACGUAUUCGGAAGAAACUCUUUACUCAGAAGUGGUGAGGCACUGGAACAUGUUGCCCAGAGAAGUAGUGGAUGCCCCAUCCGUGAAAGUGUUUAAGGCCAGGUUGGAUAGGGCUUUGAGCAACCAGGUCUAGUGGAAGGUGUCCUUGCCCAUGCAGAAGCGUUGGAACUAGAUGAUCUUUAAGGUCCCUUCCAACGUAAAACAUUCUAUGGUUUUAAUUUAUCAUUAACCUAAUUAAAGUUCUAUACAGUUCUAUUAGGAGGUAAUAUUUCUUAGUUAAAUUAUAAUAUUCUGAAUUUUCAUAAUCCAAUUUAUAACAAGACAGCCUAAUUAAUAAUUUUUAUACAAGAAAACAUAUUAAUAUCCAUGCCUUUUCUCCAGUAUUGUGUUCACACUUUCGAUGUUUCUAACAUGGAAAGCACUACAUUUUUUCUCAGGCAAGAAGAUGGUGAGGUGUCCCUAGAUGGCUUCCAGGAUCCUAAGUAGGAAUUCAACACCACUGUUAGUCUUCUUCCCCACCUCUGCCUGCAUGUUUGUGAAACAGCCAGUUGAUCUCCAGUCCAUACUGACGCAUAAGAUUGUUCCAUCCCAGGUGCAGGGCUUUUCAUUUGUCUCUGAUAAAACUUCCUCAGUUUCCAAUGGCCCAUUCCUUCAGCUUUUUGAAGUCUCUCCAAAUGGAAACCAUUCCUCCAGUGAUUAUUAAAUCACUCUCUUCAAUACAGUGUUGUACACAGUAGUGGCAAGAGUUAACUCUCGUCCUAUCACUGAUGAAGAUGUUAAACGAUAUUGGCACCAGUGUUAAUACCUGAGGAGUGUCAACAGUGACCAGCUACCAGUUUGAUUUCCAAGUGUUGUCUGCUAAACUUCUGAUUCUGAUGAAUAAACCAUUUUUACCUACCUUGUAAUUCA
RNAcentral lists this long non-coding RNA (1128 nucleotides) under Anser cygnoides (Swan goose). Its description in RNAcentral is "lncRNA (ENSACDG00005016682.1)". Lineage: Eukaryota; Metazoa; Chordata; Aves; Anseriformes; Anatidae. The record is from RNAcentral.